Molecule: long non-coding RNA, 1423 nt
Filed under: Salmo salar (Atlantic salmon)
Lineage: Eukaryota; Metazoa; Chordata; Actinopteri; Salmoniformes; Salmonidae
Description: lncRNA (ENSSSAG00000089606.1)
Source: RNAcentral
AUUUAUUUAUUCCGUGAAACUUUGCAAAAACAUAAAUAACUGAAUUGACAAAACAACAAACCGUGACGCAGAGAGAAACAAAACACUACUCAAAAUAUAAUAACCCACAAAACCCAGGAAGAAAAACCCCCAACUUAAAUAUGAUCUCCAAUUAGAGACAACGAGGACCAGCUGCCUCCAAUUGAAGAUCAACCUAAAAAACAACAACAUAGAAAUAGAAAACUAGAACUAAACAUAGCUAUAGAAAACAUAGAACAAAACACCCCUGUCACGCCCUGACCUACUCCACCAUAGAAAAUAACAUCUUACUAUGGUCAGGACAUGACACUGUCUCUCUCUCUCUCUCUACCUCUGCCUCCCUCUCUCUCCAUCUCUCUCUCUACCUCUGCUUCCCUCUCUCUCUCUCUCUAUACCUCUGCUCCCCCCUCUCUCUCUCUCUGUCUCCCUCUCUUUUGCGAGAGAGAGAGAGAGAGAGAGAGAGAGAGAGAGAGAGAGGUGUAGAGGGAGGGAAGCAAGCAGAGGUGUAGAGAGAGAGAGGGAAGCAGAGGUGUAGAGAGAGAGAGAGAGGGAAGCAGAGAGAGAGAGAGAGAGAGAGGGAAGCAGAGGUAGAGAGAGAGAGAGAGAGAGAGGGAAGCAGAGGUAGAGAGAGAGAUGGAGAGAGAGGGAGGCAGAGGUAGAGAGAGAGAGAGGGAAGCAGAGGUAGAGAGAGAGAUGGAGAGAGAGGGAAGCAGAGGUAGAGAGAGAGAGAGAGAGAGAGAGAGAGGGACGCAGAGGUAGAGAGAGAGAGAGAGAGAGAGGGAAGCAGAGGUAGAGAGAGAGAUGGAGAGAACAAUAGAGACAGAGAAAAAGACAGAGCAGCCAACCCCUCAGGACUAAAUACACCUCAGAAGAACGACCAAACAACUAAAAGGUACAGAAACAAAUUCACUUGAAUGUGGUCAGAGCGCCCCCAGGUGGCCGAGGAGGGUGUUAACUGUCUCAUUAAGUUUCAUAAGACGAUCAGUAGGCAAUCAUCACUCUGAAGACAAAUAAUACAGACAAUAUGAGAGGCACAGGCUGUAUCCCAAAUAACACAUCACAGGCUGUUUCCCAAAUAACACAUCACAGGCUGUAUCCCAAAUAACACAUCACAGGCUGUUUCCCAAAUAACACAUCACAGGCUGUUUCCCAAAUAACACAUCACAGGCUGUUUCCCAAAUAACACAUCACAGGCUGUUUCCCAAAUAACACAUCACAGGCUGUAUUCCAAAUAACACAUCACAGGCUGUAUCCCAAAUAACACAUCACAGGCUGUAUCCCAAAUAACACCCUAUCUUAUAUAUAGGACAUGACUACUGACCAUAUACCUAAAGAGAACCACAGUAUGAGGCAUAACACCCAUAAAACCUUGCGGUGAAACAGGAAAUAUACCUCUUACCCCCCC